This 463-nucleotide ribosomal RNA is filed under the name uncultured bacterium. Its description in RNAcentral is "partial 16S ribosomal RNA". It matches the Rfam family "Bacterial small subunit ribosomal RNA", at positions 28 to 507 of the family's 1533-position model. The record is from RNAcentral.
GACGAACGCUGGCGGCGUGCUUAACACAUGCAAGUCGAACGGUGAACCUCUUCGGAGGGGAUCAGUGGCGAACGGGUGAGUAACACGUGGGCAACCUGCCCCCGGCUCUGGGAUAACUCCAAGAAAUUGGGGCUAAUACCGGAUGUUCACCGCUUCCCGCAUGGGUGGUGGUGGAAAGGGUUUCCGGCUGGGGAUGGGCCCGCGGCCUAUCAGCUUGUUGGUGGGGUAGUGGCCUACCAAGGCGACGACGGGUAGCCGGCCUGGGAGGGGGACCGGCCACACGGGGACUGAGACACGGCCCAGACUCCUACGGGAGGCAGCAGGGGAGAAUAUUGCGCAAUGGGCGGAAGCCUGACGCAGCGACGCCGCGUGGGGGAUGACGGCCUUCGGGUUGUAAACCUCUUUCAGCAGGGACGAAGCGCAAGUGACGGUACCUGCAGAAGAAGCACCGGCCAACUACGUG